Molecule: long non-coding RNA, 776 nt
Organism: Erigeron canadensis
Lineage: Eukaryota; Viridiplantae; Streptophyta; Magnoliopsida; Asterales; Asteraceae
Exons: 2
Source: RefSeq, a predicted model, not a curated record
UAUAUAUGCUCACACUAACUUUCCAUACUUCCUUAUCAACAUGACUACUACUAAAUCUAUAUAUGUGUAUGUAUAUAUAAUACCCACCAGCCCAUUAUUUGCUUUCCAUUCCUCAGUCAAUCAUCAUCACCCCCACUCUUUUUUCACGUUACUCUAGUAUACAAAAGAAAGAAAAAACACAAAGGGUUUGGUCCCAAUCUUUUUUUUGUUACUCCCCUACGGUGGCAGAUCUGAAGGUCGGCGACGGUGAAUGGUGUUGUGGUUGUGGAUCUGAACGGCGAAGGAAACAGCGGCCAGUGGCGAAGCCACUUGAUGGUUAGAGAGGGCCAAAGCCCAUCCUGGUGCUUGAUAUCAAUAAUUUAUUACCUAGAAGUUUAGUGAAAUUCUAGUAAAUCAGAAGAUUUGGCCUAUCCUGUUUUACACGGCGGAUGUGAAGGGCUACAACGACAGCAGCAGUAGCAACGACGGAUCUGAAAGGCGACGACGACGAUGGUGGAAUAUAUCAGGCAUCUAAAGAAGCUUGUAUCAACAAAUCCGAGUUUUGUUUUACUUGAUUGUCUACAAUCAAUGGAAAUUGGAGGUGAUGAUGCUUCUUUGGUGGGUCCACUAGUGAUUUUCUUUUUUUCUAAUGGUUGGGAUUUGUCAAAGCUAGCUGAAGUCUCCGUUGAAGGUUUUACAUAGUGAUUAUUUGUAUAUAUAUUGUUUUAGAUUAAAUUUUGAAAUGUUGUUGACGAUGAAGAUGGUUGUUACUCAUUGAUUGGGUUUCGUUUUUUUAA